UAACGCGAAGAACCUUACCAGGUCUUGACAUACUAUACAAAUCUAAGAGAUUAGACGUUCCCUUCGGGGACAUGGAUACAGGUGGUGCAUGGUUGUCGUCAGCUCGUGUCGUGAGAUGUUGGGUUAAGUCCCGCAACGAGCGCAACCCUUAUUAUCAGUUGCCAGCAUUAAGUUGGGCACUCUGGUGAGACUGCCGGUGACAAACCGGAGGAAGGUGGGGAUGACGUCAAAUCAUCAUGCCCCUUAUGACCUGGGCUACACACGUGCUACAAUGGAUGGUACAACGAGUUGCGAACUCGCGAGAGUAAGCUAAUCUCUUAAAGCCAUUCUCAGUUCGGAUUGUAGGCUGUAACUCGCCUACAUGAAGUCGGAAUCGCUAGUAAUCGCGGAUCAGC
RNAcentral lists this ribosomal RNA (395 nucleotides) under uncultured bacterium. RNAcentral describes it as "bacterial SSU rRNA". It matches the Rfam family "Bacterial small subunit ribosomal RNA", at positions 957 to 1353 of the family's 1533-position model. The record is from RNAcentral.